RNAcentral lists this long non-coding RNA (4099 nucleotides) under Homo sapiens (human). Its description in RNAcentral is "PREDICTED lncRNA (TCONS_00154137)". Lineage: Eukaryota; Metazoa; Chordata; Mammalia; Primates; Hominidae. The record is from RNAcentral.
AAGCGGCUCGGAGUGUUCUGGAAGUGGCAGGAGCACGACUCCCUUAACUCUGGUGCAGGGUUUACCUCGGCUCCCUCGGGACGGGUUCCGUGCAGCUCCUGCUUCCUCCCUUCUCUUUCCCAGUGCCAUCCCUGGCGAGGGGGAAAAAAAAAAACACGGCCAGGAGACUUCCCACCCCUGCUUUGCUAUUUUUGUACCUCCGUGACAGAAAAACAAAACCCUGAGGAAAAGUCAGGCGACUUCAUUCCCUGCCGUCCGCGCCGGGGCCUCGACUACUGCUGGCGUCCGCGGCUUUCGCCCGCCGCUCCACAGAGACGGGGUCUUAUUAUGUUGCCCAUGCUGGUCGUGAACUCUUGGCCUCAAGCAGUCCUCAAACCUUAGCCUCCCAAAGCGCUAGGAUUACAGGUGGAUAAAACCUUGUAUGCAUCAACUACCUCUCUUUCAAGAUGGAAUUUUCAGAACACAUGGUCUGGGAUUGGAGCUGGAGCUUGGAAAUAUUGAGUGGGUGAGAAAGACUUCAUUGUUUUGUGACAGGUUAUUGUGAAAACAGCCCACUUCUGCCUGAAGAUCCAAGCCCAAGGCCUUCCUGGCCCCAGGGAUUUUGGGAUUCUUAAGAGCAAAAGAAGGAAAGAAAACAUGAGAGACUUUGGUACUGGGUACGAGCAUGAAAAGAGAAGGAUUGGUAAAAAAUAUCUCUUGGGAGCUCCUGCUGUGAUGCGAGGGUUAGUCCUGCCAUCCCAGGGCAAACUUCAUAAAAGAGGUCAGAUCCAAAGAUUGCAGAAGCCAGAAGAGACACUGCAUCCUUCCUGGUUAGGCCUGGUUAUGCCAGCUUCCUGGACUCUGCUGGCUGGUUGCCUCAAUCCAUGCCUCAGAUUGGGUGGAGUCUACAGAUUGAGGGCAAAUCCCACCUCCUCCCAACCCCCACCACUAGGCCUAUCUGGAAGACAGAAAAGAGCAGCAAGAAAUCUCAGGGAUUUUCUUUGAUUACUCAGAGGGAAAUAGUUUUCAUACUCAGAGACUGAUAGGCAGUCAAUAACAUUUGCUUUGUGAAUUUUCACCCAGCUACUUCUGGAUGAGAUAAUCACCUUUGCUGCUAAAGAAAAUCUUAGCUCAUUUUCUUCUUGGGGUGAUGGUAUAAGAGUUGAUAAACAAUUUGUAAGUAUUUAUCAUCUGGCAUAUUUAACAAAAUAUCUUUGUGAUCCAUAAAGCAAGGCAUAAAUUACAUUUGAAAGUGCAUUCCAUUAAACAAGAACAUUAGAGAGAAAGAGAGAGAGAGAGACACUUUGGACCUUGAUCUGUUCCAAUGACAUAGAAACUUGCUUUACAGAUUGGCUUUCUCCUAGUGCACUAUUGCAAAAUUAGAGCUAUACUAGAAACAUCCUUAGAGUUUGAUAAUUGAAUUACAGUGGAGAAAAAUAAGGUUUAUAUUUCUUAACUAUACCUUUGAAUUUCUUACUACUACAGAGGAUAAUUUUCCUGGUCCCUGGGGUUAGUGGUGAAAAACUAAUUGUUUUAUUAAAUUCAUGCCUCAUUCUUGUGACCCCAGAUUUUCGAAUUUGAAUAGGAAUGCAGUCAAGGGGUGAAUUCUGACAUCUUCAUUCUUUACUUAGCUCUUAAAAGCCAAGAUACUUUAUAUUACUUGUUUAUACUAAUCUUUGAUCACAAUAUAUUUACAUUGCUGGCAAGUAAAGUCUCUUAAUAAUAUAGCAGCAAAUAUUAGCUCUUCAUUCAAAAUUGUUAUUAUUCGGGAGUACUAUACAUGGUCUCUUACAUUAGGAUUUAUGAAAGUAGGAAUUAAUUAUGUUUAUUUAAUUCAAACAAGUGUUUUUCUCAAAGUAAUGAGUGUUAUGAAGGGAACUUAUUUGACCACAUACAACCCUGAGAUUCUUAUCUUUUUGGCAAAUAGCACUAACUGUGGAAAAGCUUAAGAUCAGUGGGGUUGUCGGUUUCCCCACACGUUGAGUUGAUGAUAGGUUAUAAUAAAAAUAUCAGACCAAAUUCUGCCACUUAUAUAGGCAUGUAUUAAACAUGUAUUUGUAAGCAAGUAUACAACAGUUCAUAGAAUAAGAUAAAAACCUAGCUCUCUGUCCUCUUUAGUGCUCUAAUGACUUCAAGCUGGCUCAACAAUAUUCCAGAGGCAAGAUUCUAUUACUCUUAUAGUUAGCAUCGGAAAUCCAAUGGAUGGACACUGGAUUCUUUGAGGAUCAAGCUUGAGGUGCCAAGCAUGGGAUGCAUUUCUGAAAUAUUUGAGUUUAAUCGUAUAUCUUGAAUACCACUUAUUAUUCCAGUGAGAUCUGAUUGAUGAUUAACUUAUUGAACAAGUCACUAAUUUUACCAAUGAAAAUAUAUUUCUGAUGUUUACUUUGCUAAUUAGCAAGACAUCUGGGUUUGGUAUACACAUCUGGUGAGAGAUGAAGGGCAGAAAUUGAGGCACAGAAACAAUAAGUGGUUUCCCUUAAGAUCAGAUAGCUAGUAAGUGUCUCAGCUUGUUUGUGCAUCCCACAGUGAGGAGCCUGUGUUUUUUUAAAUCUCUCUGGAUUAGUUGUGCUGGUAAGUUCUCUAGAAGCAACUUGACUCCACUGUUUUGAGGGCAGAAAUAAAAUGAACAGGCUAUAAUUGAGGUUGUAGAAGAGAUAAAAGAAAAUCUGUGAUGCAAGUAACUACACAGAGUCCUGUCUGUGAAAUGCAGGAGGCUGUCCAUAACUAAAGGCAUCUACCUUUAGAAAGGCAGUAUCAGAUUGUCACUUAUCUUGAUGGUCAUGAGAUAGGGAUGUUCUGGUUAAUAAAAUAUUCUAGUUAGUAGAGAUUCUCAGUAGACUCUAUACUCUAAUUUCUCAUUUAAAAGAAAUUGGACUCUUACAAAAUAAACAUGAUAUGAACCCAGAAUUUAACUUACUAUUUUCUUACUGUUAUCCCAAAGACAUUACAUGAUAUUGAACACUUUGAGGUAAUUAUGGUACUGGGGGAGCAUAAUUGUUCCUACUAAUAGAAACAAAAUACUAAGGAUUUUUCUAGAAACUCUUAAGAGCCAUUUACCUGGCUAAGGAUUUUUCUAGAAACUGUCCUUUCAAGAGCCAUUUACCUGGAAUAAAAGUGAUGUGUAUGAUAAACAGUUGGCUAUACAGACCCAAGAUGAAAUUCAAAAUAUGACUUCUGAAAAUUCUGAAUUCAAAAUCAAGUUUUUGAUACUUUAGGAUCAGCUAGAUGAUCAUCAUAAAUUUGUCUCCUUUCCACUUCAAUUUUUUUUCAUCUUCACCAAUCUACACUAUAUUCAAGCCAACUUACCAUUUCCCUUACUCCGUUUUCCCUGCAACUUCCCUAAGCUGUUAGUGUUAUUGUACUACUCUUCUUUAUGCCACUUAGGCUUGAAUUCUUGGCCCAAUUUCUCUCACUUCUGCAUGAAGUCACCAAAUGCCAGUGAUUCUGCUUCUAACAUAUUUCAGACAUCAUUUCUGUCCAUUCCCACUACCAGAAAGAAACUCUGUGUUAGUUUUUCUUUUACCUUUAUUGACUUUUUAUAAUAGCAUUUAUGGCGUGUUGAAUUGUGGCCCCCCAAAAAUAUGUCCAAGUCUUAACCCUGGUGCCUAUAAAUGUGACCUUAUUUGGGAAAAGAGUCUCACAGAUGAAAUUAAGUUAAAGAUCUUACCCUGGAUUAACCAGGUAGAUGCUAAAUCGAAUAAAAAAGUGUCUGUACAGGAAGAGAAGAGGAGAAUCACAGAGAAGAAAGCCAUGUGAAGAUGGUAACAGACACUGGAGUCUGUAACCCCAAGUGUAAUGCGACGGGUUCUCCACCAGGUUACUUAAGGGUGUAUGUCCACUGCUUGAGCCCUGAAGACUGGGUGGUGAGCCAAGGUCAUGGUGCUCAGCCAAGGAACACCAUGUGCUGUGUUCCCUGAGAACACAAACAUUUGGGAGAGUACCUGGGGACAUACCAAGAAAAACACUCAUCACACACAGAGAAGAAAAGCCAGAAAAUUAGCUUAAAAGCAGCUUGAAGAUGGGUGGGGUAAGGGGGUGUGUGGGGCAAAUCUCCAGAGUUGUCCUGCUACCACCUAGGAAUGCCCUGUAUGUUAAGUCCUAAUAAACUCACCUACUCAUC